GAUGAACGCUGGCGGCGUGCCUAAUACAUGCAAGUCGAGCGAACAGACGAGGUGCUUGCUCCUCUGAUGUUAGCGGCGGACGGGUGAGUAACACGUGGAUAACCUACCUAUAAGACUGGGAUAACUUCGGGAAACCGGAGCUAAUACCGGAUAAUAUCUUGAAACGCAUGGUUCAAUAGUGAAAGACGCUAUUGCUGUCACUUAUAGAUGGAUCCCGGGUGCAUUAGCUAGUUGGUAAGGUAACGGCUUACCAAGGCAACGAUGCAUAGCAGACUGGAGAGGGGUAUGGCCACCUGUGAACCUGAGACGGGCCCCAGACUCCAAGGGGGGGCAAGGAUGGGAAAUCUGGCGAAAGGGGAGAAACCCUGCGGGAGAAGCGCCGCGUGGGUGAAAAGGUUUUGGGUAGCGAAAAUCUGUUUUUUUAGGAAAAAACAGGUGUGAAUGUAACGGUCAACAAGUGACGGUAACUAAACAAAAAGGCACGGCUAACUACGUG
This 496-nucleotide ribosomal RNA is filed under the name uncultured bacterium. Its description in RNAcentral is "partial 16S ribosomal RNA". It matches the Rfam family "Bacterial small subunit ribosomal RNA", at positions 28 to 507 of the family's 1533-position model. The record is from RNAcentral.